Molecule: ribosomal RNA, 253 nt
Filed under: uncultured bacterium
Lineage: Bacteria
Description: partial 16S ribosomal RNA
Rfam family: Bacterial small subunit ribosomal RNA
Source: RNAcentral
UACGUAGGGUGCGAGCGUUGUCCGGAAUUAUUGGGCGUAAAGAGCUUGUAGGCGGUUUGUCGCGUCUGCUGUGAAAAUCCGGGGCUCAACCCCGGACUUGCAGUGGGUACGGGCAGGCUAGAGUGUGGUAGGGGAGACUGGAAUUCCUGGUGUAGCGGUGGAAUGCGCAGAUAUCAGGAGGAACACCGAUGGCGAAGGCAGCUCGCUGGGACGGUACUGACGCUGAGGCGCGAAAGCGUGGGGAGCGAACAGG